GAUGAACGCUGGCGGCGUGCCUAAUACAUGCAAGUCGAGCGGACGGACGAGAAGCUUGCUUCUCUGAUGUUAGCGGCGGACGGGUGAGUAACACGUGGAUAACCUACCUAUAAGACUGGGAUAACUUCGGGAAACCGGAGCUAAUACCGGAUAAUAUUUUGAACCGCAUGGUUCAAAAGUGAAAGACGGUCUUGCUGUCACUUAUAGAUGGAUCCGCGCUGCAUUGGCUAGUUGGUAAGGUAACGGCUUACCAAGGCAACGAUGCAUAGCCGACCUGCGAGGGUGAUCGGCCACACUGGAACUGGGACACGGUCCAGGCUCCUACGGGAGGCAGCAGUAUGGAACCUUCCGCAAUGGGCGAAAGUCUUACGGAGCAACGCCGCGUGAGUUAUGAAGGUCUUCGGAUCGUAAAACUCUGUUAUUAGGGAAGAACAUAUGUGUAAGUAACUGUGCACAGCGUGACGGUACCUAAUCAGAAAGCCACGGCUAACUACGUG
RNAcentral lists this ribosomal RNA (497 nucleotides) under uncultured bacterium. RNAcentral describes it as "partial 16S ribosomal RNA". It matches the Rfam family "Bacterial small subunit ribosomal RNA", at positions 28 to 507 of the family's 1533-position model. The record is from RNAcentral.